UACGGGGGGAGCAAGCGUUGUUCGGAUUUACUGGGCGUAAAGGGCGUGUAGGCGGCCAGGUAGGUCUGCUGUGAAAACUCGAGGCUCAACCUCGAGACGUCGGCGGAAACCAUCUGGCUAGAGUCCGGAAGAGGAGAGUGGAAUUCCUGGUGUAGCGGUGAAAUGCGCAGAUAUCAGGAAGAACACCCGUGGCGAAGGCGGCUCUCUGGGACGGUACUGACGCUGAGACGCGAAAGCGUGGGGAGCGAACAGG
RNAcentral lists this ribosomal RNA (253 nucleotides) under uncultured bacterium. RNAcentral's name for it is "partial 16S ribosomal RNA". It matches the Rfam family "Bacterial small subunit ribosomal RNA", at positions 524 to 776 of the family's 1533-position model. The record is from RNAcentral.